Neopsephotus bourkii (Bourke's parrot) is the source of this 707-nucleotide long non-coding RNA. RefSeq lists it as uncharacterized. The record is from RefSeq and is a predicted model, not a curated record. NCBI's taxonomy places the organism in Eukaryota, Metazoa, Chordata, Aves, Psittaciformes, Psittacidae. The transcript is spliced from 3 exons.
CAUAAAUAACAGCCAUUUUGUUUUUUUUAUGUCUGAUUUUUUGCAUGAAAUAUGUAUAUUCUAAUCCUUGCUGAGAAGUCUUCAAGGAAUAACAGUGUAGGGUUUUUGGUAUAAUAUUUCAUCUCACAUAUUUGCAGAAACCAUACAUCUUUGGUGUUGAAGUUCCAACACCUAUAUCAAGGGCUUGUGUAUCAAAGCCGUGUUCUUCUGUAUUCUAGUGUUUAAAAAUUUGCUGAUCAUGACUGACAGGUUUACAGAGCUAACAUGUUCUAGAGUUGAGGGUGAUUUAUUCCAGAAUAACUUAGGCAAUUCAGAGAAUUUAGCUGCCACAGUCUUCCUUCUCAUCACAGAAAAAAAUGCCUAUUGGGAUUGAUUGCAUUUCCUUUAAGAUUCUUCAUUAGGGAAGGGACUUCACCCUACAGUGUCCCCAAAUAACAAUAAUUUCAUUGCUAAUGUUCCCAUACAGAGAACCAAGUCUGUAUACAGAGCUCAUGAGACAAAUAAAUGCCUGGCAGGAUGAGAGUGGAAAUCAUUCUUACAAGAAGACAUCGUAUUUGACUUGGAUGCCACAAUCCUUGUAAAGGCACUGACCCUGGCCUCCCUUAUCUCCACUAUAUAGUACCAUGAUGUUUAUAGAAGCAAAAGUAUGCAGAAGAGCUAAAUGCAGACACUCAGUUGAAAUCUUCUAACCUGAUCACAAUUUUUUU